CUCAAUCCAAACCUGCAGCCCCCUGCCGUCCCAGCCUCCCUCCCCCGCCAGCCCUGCUGGUGCCCUUAAAUCCCAACCCUCAGCACCCAUUGGUGGUCUAACUGGGGGGACUGGCUGGCUGCCAGGGGAGGAGGGGGGCUUUCCCUUUAGGGACACCAGCCCCAACCCGGCCCCAGGGUGGGGGCUGGAAAGCUCGGUGCCAUGUCCUGAUGCUGCCUGUUGCCCCCAGCCCUCUGGUGUGUGUUGUGCCCAGGGCAGCUCCUUGCAGGCAGCCCAGGAGGAACCGCUCAGCAACUCGACUUCCCCUUUCAACAGCGCGACAAUGUGGUUUAACCUGCGGGUUCCAGCUUCCUGCGCUGGGCGGCCCGAGGCAGUGCAGAGUCACAGCUCUGCCAGAGCCCCCAGGCCCCACGCUGGAGCCCCCCGGACUCCCGGACACGGGCUCUGAGCCCCCACAGGGUCUCCAGCCCCCCACCAUGGAGCUCCGUGUGCUGCGCCGAUUCUCCUUGGUGGACAACAACCAACAGAAGUGGAUGCCCCGUCUGCACUCUCUCUCCAUGGCCCGCAGCACGGACAGUCUGGACAGGACAGGGGAUGGGCCGCUCCGCCCUCUGGGGAACACAGCCGCCACUGUCAAGGGAAAAGCCCCCAAGAGGUAAGCAAGGGGAGCCCUGUUCCUGGAGCAGGGUCCCUGGUGGUGAGUGUGGCAUGACUUGUGCCUGGCCU
Molecule: long non-coding RNA, 726 nt
Filed under: Gopherus agassizii (Agassiz's desert tortoise)
Lineage: Eukaryota; Metazoa; Chordata; Testudines; Testudinidae
Description: lncRNA (ENSGAGG00000003156.1)
Source: RNAcentral